RNAcentral lists this ribosomal RNA (2921 nucleotides) under Staphylococcus aureus. RNAcentral describes it as "bacterial LSU rRNA". It matches the Rfam family "Bacterial large subunit ribosomal RNA". The record is from RNAcentral. Lineage: Bacteria; Bacillati; Bacillota; Bacilli; Caryophanales; Staphylococcaceae.
UUAAGUUAUUAAGGGCGCACGGUGGAUGCCUUGGCACUAGAAGCCGAUGAAGGACGUUACUAACGACGAUAUGCUUUGGGGAGCUGUAAGUAAGCUUUGAUCCAGAGAUUUCCGAAUGGGGAAACCCAGCAUGAGUUAUGUCAUGUUAUCGAUAUGUGAAUACAUAGCAUAUCAGAAGGCACACCCGGAGAACUGAAACAUCUUAGUACCCGGAGGAAGAGAAAGAAAAUUCGAUUCCCUUAGUAGCGGCGAGCGAAACGGGAAGAGCCCAAACCAACAAGCUUGCUUGUUGGGGUUGUAGGACACUCUAUACGGAGUUACAAAGGACGACAUUAGACGAAUCAUCUGGAAAGAUGAAUCAAAGAAGGUAAUAAUCCUGUAGUCGAAAAUGUUGUCUCUCUUGAGUGGAUCCUGAGUACGAUGGAGCACGUGAAAUUCCGUCGGAAUCUGGGAGGACCAUCUCCUAAGGCUAAAUACUCUCUAGUGACCGAUAGUGAACCAGUACCGUGAGGGAAAGGUGAAAAGCACCCCGGAAGGGGAGUGAAAUAGAACCUGAAACCGUGUGCUUACAAGUAGUCAGAGCCCGUUAAUGGGUGAUGGCGUGCCUUUUGUAGAAUGAACCGGCGAGUUACGAUUUGAUGCAAGGUUAAGCAGUAAAUGUGGAGCCGUAGCGAAAGCGAGUCUGAAUAGGGCGUUUAGUAUUUGGUCGUAGACCCGAAACCAGGUGAUCUACCCUUGGUCAGGUUGAAGUUCAGGUAACACUGAAUGGAGGACCGAACCGACUUACGUUGAAAAGUGAGCGGAUGAACUGAGGGUAGCGGAGAAAUUCCAAUCGAACCUGGAGAUAGCUGGUUCUCUCCGAAAUAGCUUUAGGGCUAGCCUCAAGUGAUGAUUAUUGGAGGUAGAGCACUGUUUGGACGAGGGGCCCCUCUCGGGUUACCGAAUUCAGACAAACUCCGAAUGCCAAUUAAUUUAACUUGGGAGUCAGAACAUGGGUGAUAAGGUCCGUGUUCGAAAGGGAAACAGCCCAGACCACCAGCUAAGGUCCCAAAAUAUAUGUUAAGUGGAAAAGGAUGUGGCGUUGCCCAGACAACUAGGAUGUUGGCUUAGAAGCAGCCAUCAUUUAAAGAGUGCGUAAUAGCUCACUAGUCGAGUGACACUGCGCCGAAAAUGUACCGGGGCUAAACAUAUUACCGAAGCUGUGGAUUGUCCUUUGGACAAUGGUAGGAGAGCGUUCUAAGGGCGUUGAAGCAUGAUCGUAAGGACAUGUGGAGCGCUUAGAAGUGAGAAUGCCGGUGUGAGUAGCGAAAGACGGGUGAGAAUCCCGUCCACCGAUUGACUAAGGUUUCCAGAGGAAGGCUCGUCCGCUCUGGGUUAGUCGGGUCCUAAGCUGAGGCCGACAGGCGUAGGCGAUGGAUAACAGGUUGAUAUUCCUGUACCACCUAUAAUCGUUUUAAUCGAUGGGGGGACGCAGUAGGAUAGGCGAAGCGUGCGAUUGGAUUGCACGUCUAAGCAGUAAGGCUGAGUAUUAGGCAAAUCCGGUACUCGUUAAGGCUGAGCUGUGAUGGGGAGAAGACAUUGUGUCUUCGAGUCGUUGAUUUCACACUGCCGAGAAAAGCCUCUAGAUAGAAAAUAGGUGCCCGUACCGCAAACCGACACAGGUAGUCAAGAUGAGAAUUCUAAGGUGAGCGAGCGAACUCUCGUUAAGGAACUCGGCAAAAUGACCCCGUAACUUCGGGAGAAGGGGUGCUCUUUAGGGUUAACGCCCAGAAGAGCCGCAGUGAAUAGGCCCAAGCGACUGUUUAUCAAAAACACAGGUCUCUGCUAAACCGUAAGGUGAUGUAUAGGGGCUGACGCCUGCCCGGUGCUGGAAGGUUAAGAGGAGUGGUUAGCUUCUGCGAAGCUACGAAUCGAAGCCCCAGUAAACGGCGGCCGUAACUAUAACGGUCCUAAGGUAGCGAAAUUCCUUGUCGGGUAAGUUCCGACCCGCACGAAAGGCGUAACGAUUUGGGCACUGUCUCAACGAGAGACUCGGUGAAAUCAUAGUACCUGUGAAGAUGCAGGUUACCCGCGACAGGACGGAAAGACCCCGUGGAGCUUUACUGUAGCCUGAUAUUGAAAUUCGGCACAGCUUGUACAGGAUAGGUAGGAGCCUUUGAAACGUGAGCGCUAGCUUACGUGGAGGCGCUGGUGGGAUACUACCCUAGCUGUGUUGGCUUUCUAACCCGCACCACUUAUCGUGGUGGGAGACAGUGUCAGGCGGGCAGUUUGACUGGGGCGGUCGCCUCCUAAAAGGUAACGGAGGCGCUCAAAGGUUCCCUCAGAAUGGUUGGAAAUCAUUCAUAGAGUGUAAAGGCAUAAGGGAGCUUGACUGCGAGACCUACAAGUCGAGCAGGGUCGAAAGACGGACUUAGUGAUCCGGUGGUUCCGCAUGGAAGGGCCAUCGCUCAACGGAUAAAAGCUACCCCGGGGAUAACAGGCUUAUCUCCCCCAAGAGUUCACAUCGACGGGGAGGUUUGGCACCUCGAUGUCGGCUCAUCGCAUCCUGGGGCUGUAGUCGGUCCCAAGGGUUGGGCUGUUCGCCCAUUAAAGCGGUACGCGAGCUGGGUUCAGAACGUCGUGAGACAGUUCGGUCCCUAUCCGUCGUGGGCGUAGGAAAUUUGAGAGGAGCUGUCCUUAGUACGAGAGGACCGGGAUGGACAUACCUCUGGUGUACCAGUUGUCGUGCCAACGGCAUAGCUGGGUAGCUAUGUGUGGACGGGAUAAGUGCUGAAAGCAUCUAAGCAUGAAGCCCCCCUCAAGAUGAGAUUUCCCAACUUCGGUUAUAAGAUCCCUCAAAGAUGAUGAGGUUAAUAGGUUCGAGGUGGAAGCAUGGUGACAUGUGGAGCUGACGAAUACUAAUCGAUCGAAGACUUAAUCAA